This is a small nucleolar RNA of Carya illinoinensis, 109 nucleotides long. The record is from RefSeq and is a predicted model, not a curated record. Lineage: Eukaryota; Viridiplantae; Streptophyta; Magnoliopsida; Fagales; Juglandaceae.
AAACCAUGGUGGGGACGCCUCAAAAUGAAGUACUUAAAUCUUUCCCAAUACUCAUAAACUUUUUCAUUAUCUUCUUGACAAAAAUCAGCAAUCUCUCUUUUCAAAGCAU